AUGCUCCGCCUUCCCUCCACUUCUCCCAUCUCCUCUCUCUGUCGCCUCGUCUCCACCGCCGCGCCGCCGCCCGUUUCCGCAAACCAUGGCUUCUCCGCGGAGGACUUUCUCGGCGACACCUGCGGCAUCGCCCGAGCCCAGGCCACCAGGGACUCAAAGAAACUCCCCCACCUCAAGCCGCCCACCAAUUCCGACGCCGUGCUCGCCUUCCUCGGCCCUAACGUCGUCGAGCUCGCCGGCCUCGGUCUGUCCCGCCCCGAGAUCGCGCGCCUGGUUUCGCUCGCCGGCGAAACCUUCCGAUACAGAUCCGUGGUCUUCAAGCAGCAGUACUACCUGGCCCUCUUCGGCUCCUCCGAGAAUUUCCUCCAGGGGCCCUUCGGAAGAUCCCAAUGUCAUGUUCCAGCGAGAGUGCUCACCACCAAACCCGGAGCAAGUCGCGGGAGAUGA
This 447-nucleotide ribosomal RNA is filed under the name Triticum aestivum (bread wheat). RNAcentral describes it as "partial small subunit ribosomal RNA". Lineage: Eukaryota; Viridiplantae; Streptophyta; Magnoliopsida; Poales; Poaceae. The record is from RNAcentral.